RNAcentral lists this long non-coding RNA (585 nucleotides) under Gallus gallus (chicken). RNAcentral describes it as "lncRNA (ENSGALG00010004691.1)". The record is from RNAcentral. Lineage: Eukaryota; Metazoa; Chordata; Aves; Galliformes; Phasianidae.
GAGCUGUCAAGGUCAGGGGAGCUCUGCUUGUGGAUGAAGAGAAUGAGUCCCUCCUCAGCGGUGAUGUGCCUGGGAUGGUUUUCAGAAAUGGUCAAAAAGGGAAAUACUCAAGUAUUUUCAUCUUACGCUUCCAGGUUGUGUCUGAGUGUUGCAGAAAAUGGGCAGAUGUUUGGAACUGAAACUGGUUCUUAUGAGGGACCUGUGGCUUGGAGAUUACCCCUCAGCACCGCUGUAGGGGAAGCUGAUGCAUCACCCUGAGCUGCUUGGUCUGGCUUCACCAGAAACAAAAUCCGUCUCUCUGUCGGCAGUUAAAUCCAGCUCAACUCCCGAGCUGAUGAUGAAGAUGAUAAACUAUUCAUAAACAUUGUUUCCUGAUUCUGGUAUGCAGGCUUGAAGGGAUGCUGCUGUUCCAGCCUUGGGGAGCAGCUGUUUAGUUGUACGUUGGGGAAGUUGCUUUCAAAUAAAGGUCUCUUUGUCUCUCUAGAGCUGGUGUGCAGAAUGUUGUGUGAAAAUGCCAGAUACUUGCUGACUGGAGAACUUGAAACUUCUGAGACGUGACAGCAGAGGGAGCCAUUGAGAUUUGUU